UACAGAGGUCUCAAGCGUUGUUCGGAUUCAUUGGGCGUAAAGGGUGCGUAGGUGGCGCUGUAAGUCGGGUGUGAAAUUUCGGAGCUUAACUCCGAAACUGCAUUCGAUACUGCGGUGCUUGAGGACUGGAGAGGAGACUGGAAUUCAUGGUGUAGCAGUGAAAUGCGUAGAGAUCAUGAGGAAGACCAGUGGCGAAGGCGGGUCUCUGGGCAUUAACUGACGCUGAGGAGCGAAAGCAUGGGGAGCGAACAGG
Molecule: ribosomal RNA, 253 nt
Filed under: uncultured bacterium
Lineage: Bacteria
Description: partial 16S ribosomal RNA
Rfam family: Bacterial small subunit ribosomal RNA
Source: RNAcentral